RNAcentral lists this ribosomal RNA (781 nucleotides) under Clitocybula ellipsospora. RNAcentral's name for it is "partial large subunit ribosomal RNA". It matches the Rfam family "Eukaryotic large subunit ribosomal RNA", at positions 40 to 805 of the family's 3401-position model. Lineage: Eukaryota; Fungi; Basidiomycota; Agaricomycetes; Agaricales; Porotheleaceae. The record is from RNAcentral.
AUAUCAAUAAGCGGAGGAAAAGAAACUAACAAGGAUUCCCCUAGUAACUGCGAGUGAAGCGGGAAAAGCUCAAAUUUAAAAUCUGGCAGCCUUUGGCUGUCCGAGUUGUAAUUUAGAGAAGUGUUACCCGCGCUGGACCGUAUACAAGUCCUCUGGAAUGGGGCGUCAUAGAGGGUGAGAAUCCCGUCUUUGAUACGGACUACCAGUGCUUUGUGGUGUGCUCUCGAAGAGUCGAGUUGUUUGGGAAUGCAGCUCAAAAUGGGUGGUAAAUUCCAUCUAAAGCUAAAUACAGGCGAGAGACCGAUAGCGAACAAGUACCGUGAGGGAAAGAUGAAAAGAACUUUGGAAAGAGAGUUAAACAGUACGUGAAAUUGCUGAAAGGGAAACGCUUGAAGUCAGUCGCGUUGGCUGAGAAUCAGCCUUGCUUCUUUGCUUGGUGUACUUCUCAGUCGAUGGGUCAGCAUCAGUUUUGACUGCUGGAUAAAGUUCAAGGGAAUGUGGCAUCUUCGGAUGUGUUAUAGCCCAUGUUCGUAUACAGCAGUUGGGACUGAGGAACUCAGCACGCCGCAAGGCCGGGUUUUUAACCACGUACGUGCUUAGGAUGCUGGCAUAAUGGCUUUAAUCGACCCGUCUUGAAACACGGACCAAGGAGUCUAACAUGCCCGCGAGUGUUUGGGUGGAAAACCCGAGCGCGUAAUGAAAGUGAAAGUUGAGAUCUCUGUCAUGGAGAGCAUCGACGCCCAUACCUGAAGUUUACUGACGGAUAUGCGGUAGAGCGUGU